UCUCUCCUUUUGUGCUAUUCAGACAGGUUAGUACGUGUUAGACAUAAGUAUUGUCAGGAGUCCCUUUCACGAUUAAACAAAAAAAAAGGCAGUCACGUUUGCAUUUUAAGCAAUGAUAAGCUCCAAAGCACUUUAACAGCACUGUUAACAAAUAUGGCGUUGAUUUGUCUCUAGGUUGUUGUUUGUUGUUUGCUGUUGUUAUAGUUUUCAGCAGUCAUUCUCGUGAAUAAUGCUUAGAACAAAUCCAAUUGCCCUUUUACAAUCGACAAUAACGCCUAAAACACUUUUAAUUUCACAGAAACGGUGCAAAACAGCAGCGCAAGCAAUAGUGAAGCGUCCGCAGAGGAAUGUACCACACAGGCAGAGAACAGUACCGACUCAGCCGUCAGCACAACAGGUUACACCCGACCACCAUUUUGCAAUGAAUAUCCCGGUGACGGGAUUUGUCCAGAUGGAAAGGUAGUGAGGGGAAGUAACUUCAGCCGAGAAAAUUUAAAGUGGUGUUUCUUUAAUGAUUCCAUUACCUGCGGGAUGCAUCGGUGGAACGGUUGCGGAAAUCCGGGAAACCUUUUCUCAACUUGCAGGGAGUGCAUCGGAAACUGUACUGAUGAAGACCCUGAAGAGAAGUGUGGGUGGUUGAAGGAGGAUGACUCUUGAUGUGACUUCCAAAUGCAGCACGUGGAAAAUAUCUUGUGAGAAAGAUAUUUAUUUCAGACGUGCUGAAACUUGAAAAAUAUUGGGAAUAAAUAGAUCUAGACGUAGGGUGCAUACCAAAUGCGUUUGUGUAGUUAUUAUUUCUGCAGACUAUAGAAUUGCGACUAUAUCUACGCGAACACAAUUAGAAUUGCAAUCGCGAUGAAAAAUGUGCAUCCAACAACACGGACACGAUUGUUAGUAGGUUCACCGCGUCAUAUUUUCCAGUGUUUUUUUUUUUUUUAUGUGCGCAGGUUACAUUCGGUCAGAUUUCCAUAACAUCAACAUGUCGGAGAUACAGUUGGAAAACGCAGUGCGUCUUCGUAAUAAAGAAACCAGCGUAUAUCCUUUUAGCGCCAUAAAUAUCACACCCGUAAUGACCACAUGACAUAAUCACGCCACGCAAUACGCGUGCCUCGAGUGAACGAGCGUGCCUCGAGUGAAUGAUGAUCCAGAAGAACCUGCCUUCCGUCGUGUAUCGCGCUAUCAGAGGAAUUCCUCGGCUCUUGACACCAGUUUCACCGUUUCGGCCGUCCCGGUAAGCCUGGUUGGCCCAUCUCAAAGCCAGGCUGCACCUCAACGGCAUCACGUCACAGCUGCUCACUUCUGCCAUCCUUCUCGAUGUCCUCCCGAUUUAACUGUGGCGCCUCUUCUGCGCACCGUCCAUCAGCCCGCGGCCUUUCGAAA
Non-coding RNA from Dermacentor andersoni, 1380 nucleotides. The record is from RefSeq and is a predicted model, not a curated record. Lineage: Eukaryota; Metazoa; Arthropoda; Arachnida; Ixodida; Ixodidae.